RNAcentral lists this non-coding RNA (30 nucleotides) under Rattus norvegicus (Norway rat). Lineage: Eukaryota; Metazoa; Chordata; Mammalia; Rodentia; Muridae. The record is from RNAcentral.
UGCCCAGAGUGACAAUCAUGUCUUUCCAGG